UCAUAUACAAAUGCAGGCUGGAGGCGAGAUCUCUGUAGGCGUUCCAGUUCAACGAAGGGUAGUUUUUCAGCAACUUUCCUGGGAUUAUAUAACACCAUAAAUUUGAAAGGCAAAAACAAGAAGACUGGGAAAGGCUGCAAAGCCUGAACAGAGAGAAAUGGAGACACCGAUUUGGAAAAGUGAAUAUUUUUUAAUUACUGGUGGGUAAAAAUGUUUCUAUACUGGAUUAUACCAGACAGUGGCUGAUCUAGAAGGUCUCUAAAUAUUGGAUUAUGGUGCCCAACUUUCUCAAACCAGUGGUCGUGUUGAUGAAGACAGAAUGUGUAAUCCAGUAACUUUUGAAGACCCAAGAGUGGGAAAAUCCAGUAAUCAGAGCUGGGUGAAAAACAGCAACUUUGGAUAAAGCCACGUAGAAGCUGAAGCAGUUACUUGGUGGAAUGGCAAGUGGACUAGGAUGGGAAGUCCAAAGGUGAAGCACCAGUGGUCCUCUAGAUACCACCUCACUAUGUGGUCUGGGAAUAAAUAAGCUCAAUAAUAUUUGUACAAGUACACCUAAAACACAUGAAUCAUUACAAAGCAGUUUAAUGAAGCCACCUCUUACCCAAAGACUGGAGUCACACUGCAUAUUGGACCAUAAAGAAACCAACCACAUUUUAGCCUAACGCAUUGGCUAAGUAAACCACAGCCUCUGGGAUUUAUGAUCUAAUCUCUCAUGUGAAGUCAAAACAUUGGGCUCAGCAAACCACAUUUCAGUUAGUCAAGGAUAAGUGAUAAAGGAUAAGGAUAAGUGCACACAUAGCCCAUGUGAGCGAUAAAGAACCUAUGGCCUUUCAAAUGUUGCUGAACUACAUCUCCCAGCAGAUCAGCUCACAUGGCAAAUAGUAAGGAAUGCUGGGUGUUGUAGCUCCUCAACAUUUGGGAAGCCACAUAUUCCCCACCCUUGCCAAGUGUGUGGACACAUGAAAGUGCAAUGCAGGGGUGGAGGGAGAAGAAGGACUAGAUCUCAACUAGGGCUAGUCCCGGGGCCUUUUCCGCCCUGGCAUGCCUUCCCUUGUGUCUGCUCUUUCCUCACUUCCCCUCCUGAAAAUGAGCUUGUAUUGGAAAGAGAGAAGACAGCUUCAUAUUCAAAUGUACGUGACUCGAUUGCUUCUCAGUUGACGGUUCCUAGCUACAAAUGUGUCUCCCACAAUUCCAUUGGGAAAUGUGUUUGAGGUGACCUGUAGGUGCUGCAGAAGAGACUUGUGUAGCAUUCUUCCGAUGCCUAAGCUGGUUUGCUUUUAGCCCUUCUGGUGACAUGACACUUCUGAAGGCGAGUCUCCCGUUUAUUGGCCCUGUAACCAAACAAGACAGAACAGCUGCUUUUUGGUACUUUCUCUUGCCAAAAUUAAAGCUCUACUUUCUUGUUUACCCAAUAGUCAGAGAUGUAUGUCUCUGCUUGUCAUGAAAUGGUUUCUAACAAGAACGUAGAAGAGCUGAUAGAUUCCAAUGGUAGCUUUGCCUGAUAGAGAUAUCCAUGGAUGGUUUGUACAGUUUUGCAAUAGUGGGACUGACUUGCUACUUCCUUCAUGCAGCUGUAAGGUGAGAGCUAUCCCAAAUGUUACACAAAUCAUACUUGUUAUAUUGCUUGUAGGGCUCACAUUUUUUUAAAGCCAUCUUUACUACUUUUGGUAAACUGGGUCAGGAAGAUAUUUGCUUCCUCCCUGAUGAACUCAUUUACUAUAUGCAGUAAGAUUCCUUUAAACAAUCAUGAAUGGAAAGAUUUCAAGUGUUUUUGCAUUUCAUUUUCCCACAAAGGUUCAAAGCUGUUAAGCAAUAUAUAAUUGAUCCACUAUUAAUACAUUAAAGUCAGAAAUACCAGCUAUGGUAUAAGAUUAGAUUAUUAACCCAAAGC
Molecule: long non-coding RNA, 1891 nt
Organism: Python bivittatus (Burmese python)
Lineage: Eukaryota; Metazoa; Chordata; Lepidosauria; Squamata; Pythonidae
Source: RefSeq, a predicted model, not a curated record